ACCCUUCAAAAAAAGUAGCUCACCACAGCCUUUGAUUUCAAGGUAUGGAUGACAAAAACAUCACCGCCCAUGUGGCUGGUUUCAUGCGUUCGGAU
Long non-coding RNA from Sinocyclocheilus rhinocerous, 95 nucleotides. RefSeq lists it as uncharacterized. The record is from RefSeq and is a predicted model, not a curated record. The transcript is spliced from 3 exons. Lineage: Eukaryota; Metazoa; Chordata; Actinopteri; Cypriniformes; Cyprinidae.